Molecule: long non-coding RNA, 625 nt
Organism: Strongylocentrotus purpuratus (purple sea urchin)
Lineage: Eukaryota; Metazoa; Echinodermata; Echinoidea; Camarodonta; Strongylocentrotidae
Exons: 4
Source: RefSeq, a predicted model, not a curated record
UAGAUACCGUACCUGCAGAUAGCAUCAGCUACAGUUUCAGCUGGUCGGCGCAGCUUUUUAGCCUUGCCUAUGCUGCUGGUGGUUCCUUGUCUUCACUCCAAAAAUAUCUACAAUGUAUACCAAAACCUAACAUGCUUGAAGAUGUAGAAGAUCCUCGCUAUCCAUCAACCUUCGCAGCUUCUUUUGCCUCACAAUUACCUCUGUCACAAGUCCUAUCAAACACCGUGCCUGAUUCUGGUGCAGCUGACAGCACUGGGGACACUUCGCCUCAAUUGAAGCUGUUAUUCAACCCUUAGACACAACCACUUGCCUCCUAAUUACCUGCUAUGAAAGAAAUUGCAUAUUGUGAAACCAAACAUGCUUGAAGAUGUAGGAGAUCCUCGCUAUCAAUCCACCUUCGCAGCUUCUUUUGCCUCACAAUUACCUCUGUCACAAGUUCUAUUAAACACCGUGCCUGAUUCUGGUGCAGAUGACAGCACUGGGGACACUUCGCCUCAAUUGAAGCUGUUAUACAACCCUUAGACACAACCACUUGCCUGCUAAUUACCUGCUAUGAAAGAAAUUACAUAUUGUGAGCUACUAGCAAAGGAACAACUUCAACACUGCAUCAAAUGGCUCGACCAAA